GAGACCUCCCGGACUCCUCCCCAAACGGCGCAGUCCUUUUCAACAGGUGACGACUCCAUCAGCACCUUGGGCCUGAUCCUCUGCGUGGGGCUCUCGCUGCUGCUUGUGUCCAUCCUGGGCUACAGCCUGGCCAAGUGGUACCAGCGUGGGUACUGCUGGGAGGGGCCUAACUUUGUCUUCAACUUGUACCAAAUCCGGAACCUGAAGGAUCUGGAGGUGGGGCCACCCUACACCAUCAGUGGCCACAUCAGCAGUCCAGGUGGCAGCUACAUGAAGUUCUCUGACAGGCUAGUCUGAUGGCAGGGGGAGUGUCAGCUUUCUGGAGCCCCAGCGAGGAGGAAGCUCCCGGCUCAGCACCUGCCCCUCGCGGGCUCCCCCGCUUUCACCUCCUGGGUUUUCAAGGCCUGGCCUGGACCCCUCCUGUGGACACUGAGGAGUCUUCUCUGGGGACAGCACCAGCCUGUGGCAUCAGAGCCCUCAGGAGAGGCAGGCCUCUGGGGACCAAGUCUGGUGGAGUCACAGUGGCUUUCUUACGGAAAAAAUGAGUCGGCCAUUCCCCAGGGAGGAGGGGCUGGUUCCCAGGAGGCCCCUGAGCCUGUGGGAGGAGUUCCAGGGACCCUGGAAAGCAGAGCCCUCCCAACUCUGCUCCAUGUGGGCAGGGCCUGGAGACUCCAAAGGGGGGCUCUACAUGGGGGCGUCCCCUCUCACUUCCCCUGUAGGGCUGACACCGGGGCCAGAAAACCUGUCAUAUCCUCAGCAGACAAAGUCGUGUGGGAGGGAGGUGUUUCCAGAUGCUUUUUAACCUUCCUACCAGAAGCUAGCCUCCCCUAAGAGCCGAGGGCUGAGCUUAGGCCUUUACUCUGCCCUGCCCCUCACUGCACUUGUGGCACUUUCAUCAGUCCGGCCCCUCCUCGCUCCGUGCCCUCACACACACUUGUCCCCCACCUGGGUCUGUUCUCCCUGCUGCUGACCAGCCUCUAUGCCUCCCAAGUAACUCAGGGCAAGGCUGAGAACGGUCUAGAGUCACCUUCUUGUUUUCAGGUUUUGCGAUGGGUGGGCAUUUGUGGAGACCUCCGUCUCCAGAGUUCUGCGUUUCCUGGGCAAGGCCUGCCUUGUAAUGUGGAAAGUGGACCAGAAGUGGUGAGAGUGGGGAAGAGGAACCUAGAUUAGGCUAAAAAAAAGAAAAAAAAAAAAAAACAACCCAAAAAAAACAACAGCCAGUUAAUGUCCAUGGGAAAUCAAGAACCAAGUAUAGCUUGGUGGACAGCAGAAGAGUUUGCCCAUGAGUCAUCACUCCUUCCUCUGGUCUGUGCCCUUCUGGACCCGAGGUGGGGCCCCAAACUGGAUGUCAGCUUGGUGGGUGCUUACUGCAGAGCUGUUCAGUGCAGAGAGACUGAGGUCUUAGUCUCCGAACUCUUCGUCUCCGACCGAUGGAGCAGGGCCUGAGAGGAGCCCUGCCCCUGCUGCAAACUGCACUAAGAACCACCAGCCACGGGUCUUCCUGCUGAGGUCCCAGUAACAAGGCCGACAAGCUGCAGAGGCCCGGGGCAGUGAUAGGCCAAGGGCAGAGAUGUCCUAUCCUUUGUCAUCUUAGCCUCUCUUUCUUGCUUUGGGUUCUAGCCGGUUGCCAAGGAAGGAGCGAAGGAAAGGCCUUAACCAGUUCCUAUCCCCUUACUUUCCCCCAGGGUCUGGGGGCCUUGCUCCCAACAGAACCAGACUCAAACUUAAUAAACUGGGGCUUCACCUGGAAGGCCCCAGCCUUCCAUUCCUGAGUAGGUCGUCGGGUGGUGGUGGUGGAGGAAGAGCUCCCAGUGGCUCUAGAUCCCUCCCUUCCUUGAAGACCUGUUAGGAGAGGAGAGGGGAGGGGACAUGGGCUGACUUUGGUGUCCUUCCUUGGAUUUCAAAGUUCAGAGGGCUGAGCGCCAUUUCUUAACCCAGGGGGGUCCAGCCUCCAUAAACUCUACCUUGAGCCCUGCUCAGCGUGGAUCCUGGGUCCACAGCCCAGGCCGGGCUGCCCUAGGCCCUGAAAGUGCUCAGAACUCAGCGCCCUUGGGGAAAGCUGAAAGGAUGGGGUCCUGGGUCGAGGUGGUCUUAGCCCCUGGUUUGGUGGCUUCAGGUGAGGAGACAGGGACAGCUGCCAAGGGGCUGGGAGAAUGGAGGGUAUUUCCUACCCUUGGGAGCGGAACUGAGACUGGGCCACUUCCUCUUUUAGGGUCCUCUGACGUGUCCCUGUCCCCCCCUCGUUCCUCUUCCUCCCCCUCGCUUUCCUGACUUCCGUUGUCUGACUGGCCAGCACAGCUUUCUUCAUUCGCCCUGGGCCCCAGGCCCUACCCUAGGACUCCAAGGCUGUUGUUGGGGGGCAGAUUCCAGCUCCGUCAGAAAUGGUGAGGGAACAUAGGCCUAGAAGUCUGGCUACAGGUCUAGUUGGUCUGGGACUGGCUGGGCUCCCGAACCAUGGUGAGCUGGGGGCCCUUCUGGAACCUCCCCCUCCUCUUAACUGUUCUUCACUUCACUGGCCCCAGGAGCCAGGAGGCGGUCAUGAAAGCCAGCAGUUCCCUGAGCCGGCUGUUCCCAGCCCCACUGCCACCCUGGUGCUCUUUGGCAUCUCUGCCAGGGCUGUUCUGCCUGGGAUGGCUUCACCCCCCACCCCAACCCCUCUGAGCCACAUCUACUCUCCAGGGCUGGCUCAAGUCUCAUCUGCCCUGUGGCUUCCCUCAGGACUUAGACUUGCUGCCACCCAACCAGGACGAGCCCUUGGGGACAGGGGGUUACAUCCCAUGGGUGGGUUGGUUUGUUGGUCAGUCUAUCUAUCUAUCUAUCUAUCUAUCUAUCUAUCUAUCUAUCUAUCUAUUAUCUAUUUAUUAUCUAUCUAUCUGUCUAUCUAUAUAUUUAUUAUCUAUCUAUAUCUAUCUAUCUAUCUAUCUAUCUAUCUAUCUAUCUAUCUAUCUAUCUAUCUAUCUAUCUAUCUAUCUAUCUUUUUAGGGCUGUACCCAAGGCAUACAGAAGUUCCCAGGCUAGGGGUUGAAUCGGAGCUGCAGCUGCUGGCCUGUGCCACAGCCACAGCAACACAAGAUCCUAGCUGCAUCUGCGACCUACACCACAGCUCACGGCAGCACUGGGUCCUUAACCCACUGACCGAGGCCAGGGAUCCAUGGUGUCUUCAUGGAUACCAGUUGGGUUCAUUACCGCUGAGCCAUAGUGGGCAUACUGCAAAGGUUUUUAGUAACCACUCAAAGUGAAGUCCAUAGGAGGUGCUUCAUAAUAGCCUGCUGAGUGGAGAAGAAACACCCAGUGUGGCCGUGGAGGCUGCCUUGUCCUAGAGGAAGAUGACGUGAGGUGACAUGAGGAAGAGCAGGAACUGCUGAUGCCGUACGCAGUCUACAGAGUACAAGGCAUUUCCAUGCCCAUUACUGCGUCCUUGAGCCUCAUAGCAGCCCUGUGACAUGAGAUGAUUAUUGGUCUCAUUUGACAUGUGGAGAGACAGAGGCUCGUAGAGGUGGCCACCCAGAGAGGUUGCAUAGCCAGCCACUGACUGCACUUGAGCCUGAGUAGCGUCUGAGGCCUCACAGAUGCAUCCUGAACUCAGGACUUGAGGGGAGGAGGGUUGAAAACUGUAGAACAGGGCCUGGCCUUCACUGGUCCUGCCAUGCGGUACGUCCACGCUGUCACUUCACCACCCUGGGCUUCUAUCUCAGCAUCUGGCAAUCAAGGCAUUGGACUGCUUCUCCGAGACUCCUCUCUUACUUGAAAGAGUCUUACCUUUUGGGUUUUUUGUUUUUUGCUUUUUGUUUUUUUUUUUAAUCCCUUUACUCUCAGCAUUUAGCAUAAGACCCGGUGCUUAGGAGGCAUUUGGUAAACAAAAGAAGCAAGUACAAAGUGUAGUUAUAACUCUAACUCAGCAAGUGGCAGCUGAAAGUUCCUUUAGGCCCUGAUGGUUUAGGAUCCUAUUACUCAGUCUUUCUCUGAUGUUGGCAGAGUCUGACCAGCAUCCAAGACUGGACCAUUCCUGAUGGAACCUUUCUUGAGCAGGAAGACGGAUGCUAACGUUUGCUAAACACAGAUCAGUGCAAACGCUGUCAUUGGUGAGGGAACAGAGGCUCAGAGUCUGGCGAAAUGAUUUGCUUAAGGCCAGGCAAGAUGGUAUUUUCUUUAUAAGCCUUCAUCACUUUUAGCCUCUGCCCAAGCUAGCAGCUCCCGAGCUCCGGGGCCCCCAAGGAAGCAGGCCCCUCCCCCUGGUCUCUAAUCUCUUUUCCAGGUCCCCUGGUCCACCCGGGGCAGCGGGGGGGCGGGNNNNNNNNNNNNNNNAGACUGUCGGAAGCCUGGGCUCUCCAUGCCCUGCUCUCAGCUCUGAGUUUCCCACUGACCCAUUCCUCUUUCCUCCUUGUAUUUUUUUCUAUCCCCUUUAACUUCCAGGUUAUCAAAUUCUGCCCUUUCUUUAUGUCAGCUCAAUUUUCACUUCUCCAGAGAGACUUCUGGAGAUCUAUGGAUCUUCUUGUCUUCUGAUUUUUUUUUUUAUUACAAAUACUCUGGCUCCCGUAAUUUAAUUCUUGAUCAUUCUCUUGUACUUAUUCAUUCACAUAGCUUCUAUAAUAGGCCAGGAACUGUUCUAGGCACCCAGAGGUAAUCCAGUGCCUCUUGAGAUUAACCUCACUCUCUCCUAUUUGAUGGGUACUUCUUUCAGGCAAAAUUCAGAUCUUAGACCUUUUCUGAGUUCUUUACGGUGGCUUGCAGGCUCUGGCCAUAGCCAGGAACUUCUCAGGAAAGUAUGUUGAAGGAUUCUUCAGGGAAUCUUGGGUGUUGCCUCCUCCAGGGUCCAGGUCUGUGUGCUCUGAAGAUCCAAAGAUUUUAAUUUUUCCUUCCCAUCCUCAGUCAUGUUCCACCCUUUGAUCAUCAGCCGAUACAGAUCUGCAGAAAGCGCACACACAGAGAUUUUUUCUCUAGGCCAACCUAAGGGAUGGCCAAACCCAGGAAGAGGCUGGGCUGGUGAGGAGGGGGCUCUGCACUCCUGCAGCUUCUCUUAAGGGGUAAUGACUUUGCUUCGUGCUGUGGCCAUGGAGGGGCCAGCAUCUACGGUGCCCCUCCCUCUCAGGGUUCUUAGAACCUCAUAGUGGGGGCAGAUGGGACUCUCAUUGCUAUAUUUUUUUAAACUGCUUAGUGAUCAAAAACAUCUAGAAGCGUGAUAUUUAAGAAGAUCUGGUACAAAACAGGAAGCUGGUGGCCUGGUGAAUUCUCACACUUGAGGACCAGAAGUGAGAAUGUUCUGUCUGCCCAGAGCAGCAGCAGGCCAACAAAACAACAGGUGGAGCAGCGCCAGAGACCUUGGUGGACUCCGCCUCUUGGAUUUUUCCUGCAGAGUCAUGGGGCUUGUCUCCCUCUCCCCAAAGCCUAGGAGGAGUUUUCUCAUACUUGAGCAGGGAGCCACGGGGCGGGAGAGGGGUAGAAAAUGGAAGAAGCCUCAUCUUCUCUUCUGGUCCCAGUAGCUGGUGGGCCCCAGGUGCCUUGCUUGUAUUGGGCUGCCAUUGGACUUGAGGACUCUGAGGUCCCUUCCUGCUGCAAGGCUAUUUCAGAGUGUGGGUGACUUCAGUUCCACAGUGCUGGGGGAGGGGAGGAGGUAGGCAGAGACGCCUCUGAGCAUGGUGUGUGUGUUGCAGAGGUGAGCCAAGGAAGAGAGGGAUCGUGUCUUGUUGUUGGCUGUAUUCCCAGAGGGCCUGCCCAUGACAGGUGCUCAAUGAAUGCUUGCAGAAGGGGUGAAUGGCUGCAUAUUCAAAGUUUCCAUGGCCCUUUGCCUUGCUUCCUGACCACAUCCCCUCGAUCUAGGCUUCCUGUUUAGUCUGCAGCCCCUAGUCCCUCCAACACCUAAGAGCCAUAGGGUGAAAACAGCAGAGAAGGGAAUAAUCACGGUAUAAUGUGCCUAAACCAAGAAGAUGACAAGCCUGAGAAUACAAUAAAAUUCACAUGCAGCCUG
RNAcentral lists this long non-coding RNA (5965 nucleotides) under Sus scrofa (pig). Its description in RNAcentral is "lncRNA (ENSSSCG00015081029.1)". Lineage: Eukaryota; Metazoa; Chordata; Mammalia; Artiodactyla; Suidae. The record is from RNAcentral.